GGGGAGGGGCUGUUACUCACACGCGCCGGUCUGGGUUCAGAUCAAUUCUGUUCUCUGGUCUCCUGAGACCCUUGAUUUAUAGGGUCCCCGCGGAUAGAAGCUUUCCCCCCCAUCAGCGGGUUUCCACUGAACCAGCAGCAGGAGUCCUGGAUGAUCCCCCAGUUGCGCAGCCCCUCCCCCGCUCCUUCCCGACCUGCACAGCAGCGAUCUCAGACUCUAGGAGAGGGAGUGAUGUUCUCUCCUACCGUUCCAGUGCCUCCAAGGCUAGCUUCUAAAACCCUUGAGAAGUUCCUGAGUGAUGAGGAUGAUAGGAGCAUCUUCGAUUAUUCGCAACAAGCCCCUUUCAACCAUACCUGGGUUUAUGCUAAUAAGGUAACUCUAGGAAAGUGAGCUCAGAGAGAGUUACAGUUUAUUUCCAUCAAAAGCUCAAUGAGAAUUUGCAAGAUAAAAGGCCAGUGCUUAUUAAUGACUGAGAGAGUAAUUUAAAGCAACAUGAUGAUCCCGCGGACAUGCUCCAGAUACAGCCCAGCUCAUCUGAAUUCAGCAUGGCUGAAACAACAAGGUCUAGCUGGCAGUUAAAAAGCCUCCAGUUUUAUUCCCCUGAAAGGCUUUUCAGAGGCUGACCCUGCCAACUUAUACUAAUGUGUUCAAUCCUACACAUCAUUCAGGUAGCAGCCUCUUAAACACAAGCAGGCUAGAGUCUGUCAUUAACUUCCGAAUUCUCUCUACUUCCAUCUUGACUUGGCCACACAGACUACAGGAGAGGUAGAUCCAGAGAGACACUGUUCUAGAGGAUGUUGAUGCUCUCACACAAAUAUCUGCCCUUCUUGGAGGAUGAUACAUCUGGAGAUGGAGAUCAAAAAGAUAGCUGAGGCAGUGCCACCUGGCCGGUGAGGCUAUAUCCUUUAUCACAUCACAAAUCAUCCUAAAUUAUUUACCAGUUGCUUUUCCUACCAGACUGCACCAGUUCUGGAGCCAGACCCUCUGGGUUAGAGCCCGGCUUCAUCACUCUUGGGCAAGUCACUUAUCCUCUCUCUAACUCAGUUUCCACAUCUGUAACAUGAACACAAUGCUCACCUCCUGGGGUUGUUGUAACGAUUAACUGAACCAAUUCUUAUAGAACAAAGUCUAUCAAAUACUUGGGGAUGAUGGUGGUGGUGUUGAAAGGGAUCAGAUCUUUGUGUCUGUACUCCCAAUGACUCACCAAGUGCUUAACCCACAGGAGAGACUUGAAAACCAUGCUAAUUUUGUAGCCUUGGGCAAGGCAUUUAAACUCUCUGAGCAGAAAAGAAACUUGUGGUGGGGAUGCGUAGGAGAGAGAGAGCACACACAGAUGAAACAAGAUAGGCAAAUAUCAGCAAUUCUUGAGUCUGGGUUUCAUGGGGUUUCAUUACACUAUUUUCUCAAUUCUUAUGUAUGUUUAAAUAUCCAACAGUAAAAUUUAAGUGAAA
RNAcentral lists this long non-coding RNA (1451 nucleotides) under Equus caballus (horse). Its description in RNAcentral is "lncRNA (ENSECAG00000057189.1)". Lineage: Eukaryota; Metazoa; Chordata; Mammalia; Perissodactyla; Equidae. The record is from RNAcentral.